RNAcentral lists this unclassified non-coding RNA (192 nucleotides) under plant metagenome. RNAcentral describes it as "partial contains small subunit ribosomal RNA, internal transcribed spacer 1, and 5.8S ribosomal RNA". The record is from RNAcentral.
CCGUUGGUGAACCAGCGGAGGGAUCAUUACCGAGUUUACAACUCCCAAACCCCUGUGAACAUACCAUUUGUUGCCUCGGCGGUGCCUGCUUCGGCAGCCCGCCAGAGGACCCAAACCCUUGAUUUUAUACAGUAUCUUCUGAGUAAAUGAUUAAAUAAAUCAGAACUUUCAACAACGGAUCUCUUGGUUCUG